Molecule: ribosomal RNA, 495 nt
Filed under: uncultured bacterium
Lineage: Bacteria
Description: partial 16S ribosomal RNA
Rfam family: Bacterial small subunit ribosomal RNA
Source: RNAcentral
GACGAACGCUGGCGGCGUGCCUAAUACAUGCAAGUCGAACGCUGAAGGAGGAGCUUGCUUCUCUGGAUGAGUUGCGAACGGGUGAGUAACGCGUAGGUAACCUGCCUGGUAGUGGGGGAUAACUAUUGGAAACGAUAGCUAAUACCGCAUAAUAGCAGUUGUUGCAUGAUAACUGUUUGAAAGGUGCAAUUGCACCGCUACCAGAUGGACCUGCGUUGUAUUAGCUAGUUGGUGGGGUAACGGCUCACCAAGGCGACGAUACAUAGCCGACCUGAGAGGGUGAUCGGCCACACUGGGACUGAGACACGGCCCAGACUCCUACGGGAGGCAGCAGUAGGGAAUCUUCGGCAAUGGACGGAAGUCUGACCGAGCAACGCCGCGUGAGUGAAGAAGGUUUUCGGAUCGUAAAGCUCUGUUGUAAGAGAAGAACGAGUGUGAGAGUGGAAAGUUCACACUGUGACGGUAUCUUACCAGAAAGGGACGGCUAACUACGUG